Molecule: long non-coding RNA, 521 nt
Filed under: Androctonus crassicauda
Lineage: Eukaryota; Metazoa; Arthropoda; Arachnida; Scorpiones; Buthidae
Source: RNAcentral
GACCUGCACAACAAAAAGCUCUGUACCACAGUCUACAGAAAACCGACUUAUGAGCCGGUCAUUAUACCAAAGUGGUCCCAUGAACCGACCGACCUAUAAAUUGGCUACAUUUAGAUUCUACUUUAAAAGGGCAGAAGUUUAUAUUAACAACCAGAAAGAAAAAGAAUUACAAUAUAUAUAUAUACAGAACUGGACAUCUAUAUGGUUAUACAAGAGGUUUUUUAAGAAAGGUCCAUGAAAGAGUCUGGCGGUCGUUGUCAGGGCAAGUGGUGCCAAAGGAAAUGGAAGGUGCCAAAUACCAGCCACUACCCUAUGCAAUGAAGGACUCUAAGCUUGUAAGAUCUGUAAUAGCGAGGAGUGAUAAGAGAUUAGCCUAUAAGAGGCUUUCUACAUUGUUUAGCAAGCUUCGUAAUGAGAAAGAUAAAGUGGGGAGUAGGCAGAAGUCGGGGUAUAUAGGAUACCACUCAAAAACUUGGACACAAAGAAGGAAGAAAUUUAUAUAGGGGUAACUACGAGGCCAC